This 465-nucleotide ribosomal RNA is filed under the name uncultured bacterium. RNAcentral describes it as "partial 16S ribosomal RNA". It matches the Rfam family "Bacterial small subunit ribosomal RNA", at positions 28 to 507 of the family's 1533-position model. The record is from RNAcentral.
GACGAACGCUGGCGGCGUGCUUAACACAUGCAGGUCGAACGGAAAGGCCCUGCUUGCAGGGUACUCGAGUGGCGAACGGGUGAGUAACACGUGGGUGAUCUGCCCUGCACUUCGGGAUAAGCUUGGGAAACUGGGUCUAAUACCGGAUAGGACCGCACUUUAGUGUGUGUGGUGGAAAGUUUUUUCGGUGUAGGAUGAGCUCGCGGCCUAUCAGCUUGUUGGUGGGGUAAUGGCCUACCAAGGCGGCGACGGGUAGCCGGCCUGAGAGGGUGUACGGCCACAUUGGGACUGAGAUACGGCCCAGACGCCUACGGGAGGCAGCAGUGGGGAAUAUUGCACAAUGGGCGCAAGCCUGAUGCAGCGACGCCGCGUGGGGGAUGAAGGCCUUCGGGUUGUAAACUCCUUUCGCUAGGGACGAAGCUUUUUGUGACGGUACCUAGAUAAGAAGCACCGGCUAACUACGUG